Molecule: small nuclear RNA, 102 nt
Organism: Toxorhynchites rutilus septentrionalis
Lineage: Eukaryota; Metazoa; Arthropoda; Insecta; Diptera; Culicidae
Source: RefSeq, a predicted model, not a curated record
UGGCGUGAUCAGGCCCAUAUACUAAAACUGGGACAAUACAGUGAAGAUUUGCAUGACCCCUGCGCAAGUUAUCUUAUUCCUUGGUGGAUUUACAAGACAUUU